AGUGAACGCUGGCGGUAGGCCUAACACAUGCAAGUCGAACGGCAGCACAGUAAGAGCUUGCUCUUACGGGUGGCGAGUGGCGGACGGGUGAGGAAUACAUCGGAAUCUACUUUUUCGUGGGGGAUAACGUAGGGAAACUUACGCUAAUACCGCAUACGACCUACGGGUGAAAGCAGGGGAUCUUCGGACCUUGCGCGAUUGAAUGAGCCGAUGUCGGAUUAGCUAGUUGGCGGGGUAAAGGCCCACCAAGGCGACGAUCCGUAGCUGGUCUGAGAGGAUGAUCAGCCACACUGGAACUGAGACACGGUCCAGACUCCUACGGGAGGCAGCAGUGGGGAAUAUUGGACAAUGGGCGCAAGCCUGAUCCAGCCAUACCGCGUGGGUGAAGAAGGCCUUCGGGUUGUAAAGCCCUUUGUUGGGAAAGAAAAGCAGCAGGUUAAUACCCCGCUGUUCUGACGGUACCCAAAGAAUAAGCACCGGCUAACUUCGU
RNAcentral lists this ribosomal RNA (490 nucleotides) under uncultured bacterium. RNAcentral's name for it is "partial 16S ribosomal RNA". It matches the Rfam family "Bacterial small subunit ribosomal RNA", at positions 29 to 506 of the family's 1533-position model. The record is from RNAcentral.